AAGAGAACUCGGAAGUCAAUGGAGUUAAUUGCAGUCGGUGCUUGGUGAUUAGUGCUGGGGAUAUCUUUCUACCUCUAAUCAUAGUGAUUCGAGUGCACUUAAUGAUCUCACAUGCACCGGAUGGGAUGCUCGUGAUAAAGAGUGACCUGAGCACAGUGAGGUUACUGAUGCAAUGAAGCACAUGGUGCAUACAGAUUUAAGCUCAGGAUUGGCUGUAUCAGCUGCAAUUUCUUCUCCUCUUUGAUCAACUCAGGAAGGACUGGUGGUGGGCUAAGCAUCAGCAAGAACUGAAAGUUUCUCUCUGUCGAGUUGAUAUCCCAUGAUAAUUCUUGAAGGGCAUUUUCUACUCAGAAAGCUUAUGAUGAGCUUAUAUUAAUGCUGGCUUCAAAGUCUUCGAUGUUAUAUGGAAAGCUGGGGAAGCUUCAGGGACUGAGAUAGAAAAUAGCUGCUGUGUUAGCUGAUGCCUCGUGGGAGCAGACAAUGCUUUGGAUUCCAGUGCAGAGGAAGUUGGGGGGAAGAGCUCACACAUUGGCCUCAGUUUUCUAUUCAUUCUCUCUCCAUCAUGAAGCACUGGACUGAUCUGGGGAUCUCACCCUCCCUCCGUUCUACAGCUUGACUUUGUUUAUUCCCUUCGAUGAAGUCAAAAACCUUCCAUGAAUUUUUACCA
This is a long non-coding RNA of Musa acuminata AAA Group (dessert banana), 667 nucleotides long. RefSeq lists it as uncharacterized. The transcript has 2 exons. Lineage: Eukaryota; Viridiplantae; Streptophyta; Magnoliopsida; Zingiberales; Musaceae. The record is from RefSeq and is a predicted model, not a curated record.